UACAGAGGGGGCAAGCGUUGUUCGGAAUUACUGGGCGUAAAGGGCGCGUAGGCGGCCUGUUAAGUCGGACGUGAAAUCCCUCGGCUCAACCGGGGAACUGCGUCCGAUACUGGCGGGCUUGAAUUCGGGAGAGGGAUGUGGAAUUCCAGGUGUAGCGGUGAAAUGCGUAGAUAUCUGGAGGAACACCGGUGGCGAAGGCGGCAUCCUGGACCAACACUGACGCUGAGUGAGCGAAAGCCAGGGGAGCAAACGGG
This 254-nucleotide ribosomal RNA is filed under the name uncultured bacterium. Its description in RNAcentral is "partial 16S ribosomal RNA". It matches the Rfam family "Bacterial small subunit ribosomal RNA", at positions 524 to 776 of the family's 1533-position model. The record is from RNAcentral.